Molecule: transfer RNA, 95 nt
Filed under: Mycolicibacterium pulveris
Lineage: Bacteria; Bacillati; Actinomycetota; Actinomycetes; Mycobacteriales; Mycobacteriaceae
Description: tRNA-Arg
Source: RNAcentral
CCAGCGCCGCGGCGGCCAGUGCGGUCAGCAUCUCCGGGGUGUUGCCGAGCAGCACACCGACGUGCAGCGGACGGUUCGGAUCCGCCGCGCCGAUC